GUGAAUCAUCAAAUUUUUGAACGCAAAUUGCCCCUUUUUCGGAAGGCAUGUCUGUUUGAGGGCACCAUUUAACAAAUAAUGUGCAGCGUUGUGUGUAUAUAUGACGUGCACACGUUGAUGAGCUUUCCAAGAAUUUUAAAUUGUUGGUUACGCAUAAUGAACAGCGUGAAGCUUUUUUGUCAGUUCGAGUGUAGUAAAAUCUUUGCUGGGGUUGUGGAGAGCGUAAUCGCGCAAUGGGGGUGGCACUUUUUUAUUAUCACUGCCCCAAUUCCACUCUUUCUCACGAAAGUAUUCAUAGU
This 299-nucleotide unclassified non-coding RNA is filed under the name Paraglomus occultum. Its description in RNAcentral is "partial contains 5.8S ribosomal RNA and internal transcribed spacer 2". Lineage: Eukaryota; Fungi; Glomeromycota; Glomeromycetes; Paraglomerales; Paraglomeraceae. The record is from RNAcentral.